GACGAACGCUGGCGGCGUGCUUAACACAUGCAAGUCGAACGGAAAGGCCCUGCUUUUGUGGGGUGCUCGAGUGGCGAACGGGUGAGUAACACGUGAGUAACCUGCCCUUGACUUUGGGAUAACUUCAGGAAACUGGGCUAAUACCGGAUAGGAGCUCCUGCUGCAUGGUGGGGGUUGGAAAGUUUCGGCGGUUGGGGAUGGACUCGCGGCUUAUCAGCUUGUUGGUGGGGUAGUGGCUUACCAAGGCUUUGACGGGUAGCCGGCCUGAGAGGGUGACCGGCCACAUUGGGACUGAGAUACGGCCCAGACUCCUACGGGAGGCAGCAGUGGGGAAUAUUGCACAAUGGGCGGAAGCCUGAUGCAGCAACGCCGCGUGCGGGAUGACGGCCUUCGAGUUGUAAACCGCUUUCGCCUGUGACGAAGCGUGAGUGACGGUAAUGGGUAAAGAAGCACCGGCUAACUACGUG
This 467-nucleotide ribosomal RNA is filed under the name uncultured bacterium. Its description in RNAcentral is "partial 16S ribosomal RNA". It matches the Rfam family "Bacterial small subunit ribosomal RNA", at positions 28 to 507 of the family's 1533-position model. The record is from RNAcentral.